RNAcentral lists this ribosomal RNA (3140 nucleotides) under Candidatus Niyogibacteria bacterium RIFCSPLOWO2_02_FULL_45_13. RNAcentral describes it as "bacterial LSU rRNA". It matches the Rfam family "Bacterial large subunit ribosomal RNA", at positions 1 to 2469 of the family's 2925-position model. The record is from RNAcentral. Lineage: Bacteria; Candidatus Niyogiibacteriota.
AAUUAUUAAGGGUGUAUGGUGGAUGCCUUGACGCAAAGCGGCGAUGAAGGACGUAGCGUAGCUGCGAUAAGCCUCGGUGAGGUGCCUAGCAACCUUUGACCCGGGGAUUUCCGAAUGGGGAAACCUAUUUGCGCAAAACGCAAAUGGCCUUGUCUAUAAAUGACGAGGCAGCUUACCCGCUGAAGUGAAACAUCUCAGUAAGCGGAGGAACAAAGAAAAAUUACGUCCACAUUUAACGAAAUUUGUGAAAUAGUGGACAGAUUCCCUGAGUAGCGGCGAGCGAAACGGGAAGAGCCUAAACCAGAUACUUAAUUUAUUAAGUGUUCGGGGUCGUAAGAUAAAAAUAUUCUUAAGUUUCUUGUCCCGUUAGAAAAAAUGCCGUUUUAAAGAAACGGAUUUCUAACGGGAUAAACUUGAAACUUAAGAUAAGAGUUACAAAUUUGCUCCGACGUANNNNNNNNNNNNNNNNNNNNNNNNNNNNNNNNNNNNNNNNNNNNNNNNNCUGGAAAGCAGCGCCAAAGAAAGUGAAAGCCUUGUAGACAAAAGUCGGCAAACUCUUAAAUUUUUACCCCGACGUAAAAGUCGGGGCUCCGACCUCGUAAGAGCGUCGGAGUUCUUGAGUACCUCGAGGCUAGACAACCUCGAGGGAAGCAAGGAGUACUAUCUCCUAAGGCUAAAUACGCUUUGCGAUCGAUAGUGAACAAGUACCGCGAGGGAAAGGUGAAAAGCAGGCCGGUGAGGCCGUUGAAAUAAAACCUGAAACCAUACACUCACAAGGACCAGGAGCGAUAUCGCUAUCGCUCAACGCUCCUAAUUUAGAAUGCAGAAUUAAGAAUGCAGAAUUAUAAAGCUUCGCUUUAAUUAAGAAUUAAGAAGGCAGAAUUAAGAAUUUAUUGUAAUUUUAAUUCUGAAUUCAUAAUUCUGAAUUAUUAAUUAGCGAGCGAAGCGAGCUUAAAGUUCUUAAUUCUAAAUUUAUAAUUUUGAAUUAGGCACGGUGAGCGGUAGCGAAGCGUGACUGGGUGCCUAUUGAAGAAUGAGCCAACGACUUUAUUUGCGCUGCUCGUUUAAGUCCGAUUAAUCGGACGAAGCAAAGGGAAACCAAGUCUGAAUAAGGCGAAAAAUAAAGCAGCGCGAUUAAGACCCGAAGCCAAGCGAGCUUAUCCUGGUCAGGAUGAAGGUCGAUGAAAAUCGACUGGAGGUCCGCACCGGUGAGCCGUUCAACACUCUCGGAUGAACUGGGAUAAGAAGUGAAAAGCUAAUCGAGCUUGGGAAUAGCUGGUUCUCUCCAAAAUAGUUUUAGGACUAGCGUCGGAUAAUAGAUUUCUGGGGGUAGAGCGCUGGAUGAAUUGUAAAGGGCGAAAGCCCGACAAAUCAAUCAAACUUCGAAUACUAGAAAUUGUUUUCCGGCAGUCAGACUACGGGGGCUAAGCUCCGUGGUCGAAAGGGAAACAGCCCUGACCGUCGUCUAAGGUCCCUAAAUAUUUGCUAAGUGUUAAAGAAAGUUUUCAACCAGAGACAAAUAGGAGGUUGGCUUAGAGGUAGCCAUCCUUUAAAGAGUGUGUAACAACUCACUAUCCGAUGGUUGGGGGCGUCUAAAAUUUAUCGGGGCUAAGCAAAUUACCGAAGACACGGAAUCGCGCGGCGAAGCCGACGCGAUAAUUUAGAAUUACAAAUUAAGAAUUCAGAAUUUUUAGAAUUAUUUAUUUAAUUCUUAAUUCUGCAUUCUAAAUUCUGAAUUAUCACGCGACUUCGUCGCGUGAUUGAUAGGAGAGCAUUUCCAGCGCAGCGAAGGUUGACCCGCGAGGGCAGCUGGAGCGCUGGGAAGAGAGAAUGUUGGCAUGAGUAAUCGCAAAGACGAUGAGAAAUCGUCUCCCCGCAAAUCCAAGGUUUCCUCCGCAACGAAAAUCGACGGAGGGUUAGGCGGCCCUAAGGCAAUGGCGAAAGCCGCAGCUAAAGGACAGUCGGUUAAUAUUCCGACCCGCCCAUUAAUUAUCGAUGGAGUAACAGAGAACAUAAAAUUGAGCGCCUUAAUGGUUUGGCGUUAUUGAUUUCAAGAAAUGUUCCGACCAGUAAAUCUGUUGGGACUGCCUUUAAUGGCGAAUUUCGGAAAUUGAUGAAAGUUUUGAUUUUUAUCAAUUCAAUUCGGUUGAAGAGUCUCUCAAGAAAACCUUCUAAGAGUUAUGUUAAUGGGCCCCGUACUAAAAACCGCCACAGGUGGAUGAGGCGAGUAGCCUCAGGGGAACGGGUAAUUCCUCGUUAAGGAACUCGGCAAAAAAGCAGACGUAAGUUCGCGAUAUGUCUUUCCCUCCCCAGUUUUGGUAAAGUAAUUAUUAUACAGAUGCAUUGCUUCGUGAGAGAAGAUUAAAAAAUCACGGCAGUGGUAAAAUUGAACUUUUCAAGCGGCUAAAAAAUAGCUUGCUUGAUACCAAAACUGGGGAGGGACGCAGCGAAAGAAUCCCUAGCGACUGUUUACCAAAAACACAGCUCCCUGCUAACUCGUAAGAGGAUGUAUAGGGGGUGACGCCUGACCGAUGCGAGAAGGUUAACGGCGGGAGUGUUAUCCGCAAGGGUAACGCCCACUGCCCGAAGCCCUCGUCAAUGUCCGCAGUAACUAUAACUGUGUUAAAGUAGCGCAAUUCCUUUUCAGGUAAGUUCUGAAGCGCACGAAUGGCGUAACGACUGGGGAACUGUCUCAAUGAGGAGCCCGAUGAAAAUGCGAUUCCCGUGAAGACGCGGGGUACUGGCAGUAAGACGAAAAGACCCCGGGAGCUUUACUGCAGCUUGAUAUUGAUUUUAGAACUUUAAUGCGUAGCGUAGUGGGCAGGCUUUGAAGUUUCGCUUUCGGGCGGAAUGGAGCCGACAAUGAAACACCCAUCUUUCGAGUUUUAAAGUCUAAUCUGAACGGCAAAAACGUUCGGAAACAGUGUCUGGUGGGCAGUUUCAAUGGGGCGUUGUCCUCCUAAAAAGUAACGGAGGAGUCUAUUAAGGUCGACUUAGCCCGGAUGGAAAUCGGGCUGGACGUGCAAAGGCACAAGUCGGCUUAACGGCAAGGCUGACAAGCCGCGCCGAUGCGAAAGCAGAGCUUAGCGACCCGACGACACUUUAUAGAAAGGUCGGAGAUACCGGAUAAAAGCUACCCC